GGUAUGAUGAUUGUGGCUUAGGUUGUGUAUAUGUGAAUAUUGGAGCUUGAUUGGUGAUUUUGAAAAGCUUGAAAAAGGGAUUUGGUGGUGAAAAAUCUGUUCUUGGAGGUAUUGAGGCCUUGAGAGCUUGUGGAUAAGUGGUUUGGAAGUGCUCCGGUUGAGCUUGGGAAAUCGGCUAAGAUGCAGGACGUGAGGUUUCCCGCUGAGGCAUGCUGGAGACUUCUAUAAUUGCGAAGAUCCUUUGUUCUCGGGGCUAUGUUUUGGUUUAUAUGUUUUGCUUAGAUACUUUUAUCUCCAUUAAA
Long non-coding RNA from Arachis duranensis, 302 nucleotides. RefSeq lists it as uncharacterized. Lineage: Eukaryota; Viridiplantae; Streptophyta; Magnoliopsida; Fabales; Fabaceae. The transcript has 3 exons. The record is from RefSeq and is a predicted model, not a curated record.